Molecule: ribosomal RNA, 387 nt
Filed under: Telonemia sp.
Lineage: Eukaryota; Telonemia
Description: partial small subunit ribosomal RNA
Rfam family: Eukaryotic small subunit ribosomal RNA
Source: RNAcentral
AUUCCAGCUCCAAUAGCGUAUAUUAAAGUUGUUGCAGUUAAAAAGCUCGUAGUUGGAGUUCAGAGUGAGCUCAGCCGGUCGGCCUCAUGGGUCAGAACUGGUCGACUCUCUCUUGUUUGUGGAUCCCGUCCGGAGUUAACUCUUCGGAAUGUGGAGUUCACAUCGUUUACCUUGAAAAAAUUAGAGUGUUCAAAGCAGGCGUUUGCUUGAAUAUAUUAGCAUGGAAUAAUGGAAUAGGACCCUGGUUCUAUUUUGUUGGUUUUGAGAACCAGAGUAAUGAUUAAUAGGGAUAGUUGGGGGCAUUCAUAUUUCAUUGUCAGAGGUGAAAUUCUUGGAUUUAUGAAAGAUGAACUUCUGCGAAAGCAUUUGCCAAGGAUGUUUUCAUUA